Molecule: long non-coding RNA, 1279 nt
Organism: Hypomesus transpacificus
Lineage: Eukaryota; Metazoa; Chordata; Actinopteri; Osmeriformes; Osmeridae
Exons: 4
Source: RefSeq, a predicted model, not a curated record
CGUACGUUCUAAAUUGUUUGACUGGUCCCCCAGGGUGAGUUUUUAAUGCGCGUGAUUUUGGAUCAAUUUUAACGUUCCAGAAAUUGAUUAUGACGCAUUAAUGUCGAAUUGCUGUACAAUUUAAGCAUUUCUCUAUUCGCAUUUUGAGUUGAACCUGUUGGACCCCGUAGCUUUGACCAGGCAACAACCCAUUGGUUGUUUAGAAUAUUACGACCACCCCCCACCCCCCUCCUCCUUGAUGCAUUUCAUCCGCCUCGUGGGACCAUGUUUACCUUUCAUGGCGACGUUUUUCUGAAGUGCACACCUUGCACUUCCUCCUGGUCCUGCUUCCUUGGGUAGCAGUCUGAGGGACCUCCGAGGGAAAGUGCCUGGCAGUCAACCGCAGAGGAUUGUCUGAUGUGGGACGGCCACCGGUGGAUGGGCGUCGAGGUGUAUGAUGCACCUCGAGCAGCUGUUUCAUCAAGUUCAGUCUGUAUUCCUGACUGUUGACGGUGGACGAUGUGGCCAUUGAGAACAGCAGUGUCUACCAAGUGAAAGAAGACUUUCUUAUACCACUUGGUAGUCUUCCUGGCACAUUCGACAAAGCUGUUCACCAUGUCCGCCUUGUCCACAGCCCCCAUCUUCUUGUUAUAGUCAAGAACACAAGCUGGCUUGAGUUUCCUCUCCCAGGUGGCAUGAUCAAUCCUUGCCGUGGCUGACAUCACUGAUGAAUGAACAGUGGGCUGAAGGCUGGCAUCCCCUUCCGAUUUGCACGAACGGUCCCACAGGCCCCCGUUCCUCGGGAGAGGAGGUGCUGGAACAAUGUUGGACUGCUGUACCAGUUGUCGAUGUACAGGACGUGGCCCUUUUUUAGGUGGGGUGCAAGUAAGGUCAUCACGACCGAGCCAGAUAUCCCAAGUCCUGGAAAGUGGGUGAUGUCAGUGGUGGAUCCCGUGUAAAUGAUCAUGUCCUGCACGUAACCGGUCAACACAUCACAAAGGACAAAGAAUUUGACACCAAACCUAUGCCUUUUUGAUGGGAUGUACUGCCGAAAUGCCAGCCUACCCUUCCACUUCAUUAGGGAUUCAUCGACACAGAGGUCUCUGUGUGGCACAAAAACCCUUUGGAAUGAAGUGGUGAGAGCACUAAACACAUUUCUGAUCUUGUGCAGGGGAUCAUUUACGUUAGCGCUUGCACUGUCGACAAAGUGCAAGCAACGGAGGAGAAGCAGGAAACGGUCCUGGGAAAAAAUUGUGGCGAAGAAGGGGGUCAGGAGGAUGGGAUCUGUGGUCCAGUAGUC